GAUGAACGCUAGCUACAGGCUUAACACAUGCAAGUCGAGGGGAAACGACAUCGAAAGCUUGCUUUUGAUGGGCGUCGACCGGCGCACGGGUGAGUAACGCGUAUCCAACCUGCCCAUCACUUGGGAAUAACCUUGCGAAAGUAAGACUAAUACCCAAUGAUAUCCCACGAAGGCAUCGGAAUGGGAUUAAAGAUUUAACGGUGAUGGAUGGGGAUGCGUCUGAUUAGCUUGUUGGCGGGGUAACGGCCCACCAAGGCAACGAUCAGUAGGGGUUCUGAGAGGAAGGUCCCCCACAUUGGAACUGAGACACGGUCCAAACUCCUACGGGAGGCAGCAGUGUGGAAGAUUGGGCAAUGGGCGAGAGCCUGAACCAGCCAAGUAGCGGGCAGGAAGACGGCCCUAUGGGUUGUAAACUGCUUUUAUAAGGGAAUAAAGUGGGUCACGUGUGACUUUUUGCAUGUACCUUAUGAAUAAGGACCGGCUAAUUCCGUG
This 492-nucleotide ribosomal RNA is filed under the name uncultured bacterium. Its description in RNAcentral is "partial 16S ribosomal RNA". It matches the Rfam family "Bacterial small subunit ribosomal RNA", at positions 28 to 507 of the family's 1533-position model. The record is from RNAcentral.